UGGGGGAUAUUGCACAAUGGGCGAAAGCCUGAUGCAGCGACGCCGCGUGGGGGAUGAAGGCCUUCGGGUUGUAAACUUCUUUUGCUCUGAACAAGGCGCACCAUGUGGUGGGUUGAUUGUAGGGGUUGAUUAGCGCCGGCUAACUACGUGCCAGCAGCCGCGGUAAUACGUAGGGCGCGAGCGUUGUCCGGAAUUAUUGGGCGUAAAGGGCUUGUAGGUGGUUGGUUGCGUCUGUCGUGAAAGUUAAUGGCUUAACUGUGGGUUUGCGGUGGGAUCGGGCUAGCUUGAGUGCAGUAGGGGAGACUGGAAUUCCUGGUGUAGCGGUGGAAUGCGCAGAUAUCAGGAGGAAUACCGGUGGCGAAGGCGGGUCUCUGAGCUGUUACUGACACUGAGGAGCGAAAGCAUGGGGAGCGAACAGG
RNAcentral lists this ribosomal RNA (419 nucleotides) under bacterium. RNAcentral describes it as "partial 16S ribosomal RNA". It matches the Rfam family "Bacterial small subunit ribosomal RNA", at positions 355 to 776 of the family's 1533-position model. The record is from RNAcentral.